This 253-nucleotide ribosomal RNA is filed under the name uncultured bacterium. Its description in RNAcentral is "partial 16S ribosomal RNA". It matches the Rfam family "Bacterial small subunit ribosomal RNA", at positions 524 to 776 of the family's 1533-position model. The record is from RNAcentral.
UACGAAGGGAGUUAGCGUUGUUCGGAAUCACUGGGCGUAAAGCGCACGUAGGCGGAUGUGUCAGUCAGGGGUGAAAUCCCGGAGCUCAACUUCGGAACUGCCCUUGAUACAGCACGUCUUGAGUCCGGAAGAGGUGGGUGGAAUUCCUAGUGUAGAGGUGAAAUUCGUAGAUAUUAGGAAGAACACCGGUGGCGAAGGCGGCCCACUGGUCCGGUACUGACGCUGAGGUGCGAAAGCGUGGGGAGCAAACAGG